Molecule: ribosomal RNA, 497 nt
Filed under: uncultured bacterium
Lineage: Bacteria
Description: partial 16S ribosomal RNA
Rfam family: Bacterial small subunit ribosomal RNA
Source: RNAcentral
GAUGAACGCUGGCGGCGUGCCUAAUACAUGCAAGUCGAGCGACCAGACGAGGAGCUUGCUCCUCUGACGUUAGCGGCGGACGGGUGAGUAACACGUGGAUAACCUACCUAUAAGACUGGGAUAACUUCGGGAAACCGGAGCUAAUACCGGAUAAUAUAUUGAACCGCAUGGUUCAAUAGUGAAAGACGGUUUUGCUGUCACUUAUAGAUGGAUUCGCGCCGAAUUAGCUAGUUGGUAAGGUAACGGCUUACCAAGGCGACGAUGCGUAGCCGACCUGAGAGGAUGAUCGGCCACACUGGAACUGAGACACGGUCCAGACUCCUACGGGAGGCAGCAGUAGGGAAUCUUCCGCAAUGGGCGAAAGCCUGACGGAGCAACGCCGCGUGAGUGAUGAAGGUCUUCGGAUCGUAAAACUCUGUUAUUAGGGAAGAACAAAUGUGUAAGUAACUAUGCACGUCUUGACGGUACCUAAUCAGAAAGCCACGGCUAACUACGUG